UAACCUUGCGGCCGUACUCCCCAGGCGGAGUGCUUAACGCGUUAACUACGUCACCGAAGCGCAUGCGCCCCGACAACUAGCACUCAUCGUUUACGGCGUGGACUACCAGGGUAUCUAAUCCUGUUCGCUCCCCACGCUUUCGCACCUCAGCGUCAGUAUCGGACCAGGUAGCCGCCUUCGCCACCGGUGUUCUUCCAAAUAUCUACGAAUUUCACCUCUACACUUGGAAUUCCACUACCCUCUUCCGAACUCAAGCAUAUCAGUAUCAAAGGCAGUUCCUAGGUUGAGCCCAGGCCUUUCACCUCUAACUUAAUAUGCCGCCUACGUGCGCUUUACGCCCAGUAAAUCCGAACAACGCUAGCCCCCUCCGUAUUACCGCGGCUGCUGGCACGGAGUUAGCCGGGGCUUCUUUACCGGCUACAGUCAUCAUCUUCACCGGCGAAAGAGUUUUACAACCCUAAGGCCUUCUUCACUCACGCGGCAUUGCUGGAUCAGGGUUUCCCCCAUUGUCCAAUAUUCCCCA
Molecule: ribosomal RNA, 523 nt
Filed under: uncultured bacterium
Lineage: Bacteria
Description: partial 16S ribosomal RNA
Source: RNAcentral